This 253-nucleotide ribosomal RNA is filed under the name uncultured bacterium. RNAcentral describes it as "partial 16S ribosomal RNA". It matches the Rfam family "Bacterial small subunit ribosomal RNA", at positions 524 to 776 of the family's 1533-position model. The record is from RNAcentral.
UACGUAGGGCGCAAGCGUUAUCCGGAAUUAUUGGGCGUAAAGAGCUCGUAGGCGGUUUGUCGCGUCUGCUGUGAAAGACCGGGGCUCAACUCCGGUUCUGCAGUGGGUACGGGCAGACUAGAGUGCAGUAGGGGAGACUGGAAUUCCUGGUGUAGCGGUGGAAUGCGCAGAUAUCAGGAGGAACACCGGUGGCGAAGGCGGUUCUCUGGGCAUUACCUGACGCUGAGGAGCGAAAGCAUGGGGAGCGAACAGG